Molecule: ribosomal RNA, 433 nt
Filed under: uncultured bacterium
Lineage: Bacteria
Description: partial 16S ribosomal RNA
Rfam family: Bacterial small subunit ribosomal RNA
Source: RNAcentral
AACGAACGCUGGCGGCAUGCCUAACACAUGCAAGUCGAACGAGACCUUCGGGUCUAGUGGCGCACGGGUGCGUAACGCGUGGGAACCUGCCCUUAGGUUCGGAAUAACUCCCCGAAAGGGGUGCUAAUACCGGAUAAUGUCUUCGGACCAAAGAUUUAUCGCCUUUGGAUGGGCCCGCGUUGGAUUAGCUAGUUGGUAGGGGAAAAGCCUACCAAGGCGACGAUCCAUAGCUGGUCUGAGAGGAUGAUCAGCCACACUGGGACUGAGACACGGCCCAGACUCCUGCGGGAGGCAGCAGUGGGGAAUAUUGGACAAUGGGCGAAAGCCUGAUCCAGCAAUGCCGCGUAAGUGAUGAAGGCCUUAGGGUCGUAAAGCUCUUUUACCCGGGAUGAUAAUGACAGUACCGGGAGAAUAAGCUCCGGCUAACUCCGUG